This 83-nucleotide transfer RNA is filed under the name Hydrogenobaculum sp. RNAcentral describes it as "tRNA-Leu". It matches the Rfam family "tRNA". Rfam says of the family: Transfer RNA (tRNA) molecules are approximately 80 nucleotides in length. Their secondary structure includes four short double-helical elements and three loops (D, anti-codon, and T loops). The record is from RNAcentral. Lineage: Bacteria; Pseudomonadati; Aquificota; Aquificia; Aquificales; Aquificaceae.
GCCGAAGUGGUGAAAUGGCAGACACAGGGGACUCAAAAUCCCCCGCUCGCAAGGGCAUGUGGGUUCAAGUCCCACCUUCGGCA